Lepidothrix coronata (blue-crowned manakin) is the source of this 449-nucleotide long non-coding RNA. RefSeq lists it as uncharacterized. NCBI's taxonomy places the organism in Eukaryota, Metazoa, Chordata, Aves, Passeriformes, Pipridae. The record is from RefSeq and is a predicted model, not a curated record. The transcript is spliced from 4 exons.
AUCCCACAGCAGACCUGUUCUUGCAUUGGGAAGAGCCUUCAAAUCAACUAUUAAGAUGUUCAGAGACCUGAAAAACAAAGCUUUCCUAUGCCUCUAGAAGAGGGUACAAAGGAUGCCUAGCGUUGCCAGAAAGAUCCUGCACAGUGUGGAUGUGGGUCUGCCAAGGUGGGGCAGAGGAGACAUAAGACACAAAUCUGGCCUGAAGAAGCACAGUGAAAAACACCACCAGGUACUGCGAUGUAAUUGGACAACACAAAGUCUGGGAGUUAGCACAUCUUUCACAGUGGCAACAGCUCAGAUGUACCAUGUGAGAUAACAUUUUGCUGCUUGGAUCUGGGCAAGUCACUAUCUGUGCCUUGCCUCAGUUACCAGCCUCUAGUCAACACCUGACACAUCAUAAGUGUACUGAGAGUUUGCAGUAGACCAUGUCCUGGGAUGCUGCAGUGAUG